Molecule: long non-coding RNA, 1566 nt
Organism: Salvator merianae (Argentine black and white tegu)
Lineage: Eukaryota; Metazoa; Chordata; Lepidosauria; Squamata; Teiidae
Source: Ensembl
GCAGAAGGGAAACUUGGAAUUUUGGGGUUUGUGCCUUAGUUGAUGUGACACCAUCUUUUUUAAGAUUUAGACACUGUCGAAAAUACUGGGAACAUUUCAAAAUGUAGAAUUUUUCUAAGAAGCUGGACAGGAGGCGUUCCUGAUCCUUACAAUAUGUAAUACCUAGAAGCAGGCUGCGUGCUGCUGAGGGCUUACUGUAAUCGCCCUGCCAAUGCAUUAAUUGACUUACAGCUGCUCGGUGCGGAUGGCCAGACANCUGUCUCCCGCCUCCUCUGCCGCCUUCGCCACCGCUUGCUCUGCCUGUCACAGGCAGAGGUGAGGGAGUUCUUUAAUGAGCAAGCCCAGCAAAAACCUCCGUCCAGUGCUGGGGUCCCAGGGCCGGUUUCCUUCACUGGUGCAGAAGAUGAUGCCAGGCGAGGAGGGGUUUGCUCUGCAGCUGCAGGAGGAAGGCCGAGGCCAGGAUGUGGGACACCGGGUUCGCUUCCUGCUGCCGCACACAACCAUCCUAGAGCCAUCACCCCAGCAGGAGGAACUGCUUUUCUACCAGCGUCUGGAGUCCUUGCUGGAAGCUGCUGGAGGAAGCGUAGAGGAGCUCUUUACUGCCNUGGGCUGGGAAGACCUCAUAGAGGACAAAGGUCUGAGGAAGUGGCUGGUGCGCUGCGGCCAAGGAGAAGACAGCAGGCCACGUCCAGGCCAGGAGGUGACCGUGAAGCUGCUGGGCGUGCUGGAGGACCAGAGCCUGGUGGAAAGGGACCCCAAGCACACCUUUGUCCUGGGCCAAGGGGAGGCAAUAGAGGUCAGGAGCGGCUGUGGGAGAGGAACCUGUUGAGGAGGGGGGCAAGGCCACCCCUCACCCUUACACUGACUUUUUCCCACCAUUCCAGAUCCCAGGCAGGAGUCUGCCAGGCUAUUCCUCAUAGCAUCUUUGGAGACUUUUGUGCGUCUUUCCCAAGUCACACUGCAGUUGUCUCGCCAUGCAUGGGAGGGGGCUUCAGUAGAUGUGCAGGGGGAGGCAAGGCCAGGCUUUGCGCAGCCCCAGCGUCCAGCUCUGCUCUUGGCCUGCCUGCUCCUAUCAGAAGUGCAGAGAUGGCUGUAGGUGCCAAUUGUGGGGANAAGUUGGGAGUGGGCCCUCUCUCUUCCAGGGCAGGCAGUUCUCUCCUCUGCCAAAGCCCUGAUCUCUAGGGUGAAGGCAAAUGGAUUUCCACCCAGAUUCCCUCCCUAGUUGCAAUGGCAGGUGCAGCUCACAUCAAGUCCGUUUUGUUCCCUUCUGACCCUGAAUCCCAGUGCAGUGGGCCUCAUGAGCCCCAGGGCCUCUGACUGGUGAGCAAUCGCAGCCUCUGGUACCUCAGUAGGUGGGGCAGAUGUGUUUCUCCAGGUCAGGGAAAGUGGCGAAGCCCAGUCUGCUCACAGCACAGACUGCUGCUGCCCGUUUCUCUCUUUAGGCCUUGGAACUUGGCGUUCCAUCCAUGCAGCUCGGAGAAGUGGCUUUUUUCCUCGCCCGCCCUGCAUGUGCCUACGGUCCCUUGGGCAGGUAGGGCGACCAGCUGAAGCUGCAGCCUGGUGCUG